This 3988-nucleotide long non-coding RNA is filed under the name Sus scrofa (pig). RNAcentral describes it as "lncRNA (ENSSSCG00040038631.1)". Lineage: Eukaryota; Metazoa; Chordata; Mammalia; Artiodactyla; Suidae. The record is from RNAcentral.
UGGAGCUUGUUCUUGAGGUCAGGUCUGAAGGUACAGAUGAACAUGAUCGGUAUGGAGAUGAUGCAGAUAAGGAGCAGUAGAGAGGGGCUGCUUACAUACAGGGCUGCAGAGAAUGAAAGUCUUUUACAUUGUCCAUGAGCAAAUAUUUAUUGAGUGUCAGCUGUGUAGGUACUGUGAAUACAAAGUGAACAAAAUAGACAUGGUUCCUGUGCUUGUUGAUCAUACAGUCUAAUGGGGCAGACAAAAGUAGAGACAAUUAAGUGAAUAAUGGAAGUUUUCAGAACAAAGAAUAAUGGGGAAAUGACAUUUCAGCUGAGACCCAGAGGUCAAAAAAGAUUUCAGUACAGAGGGUGGGGGCAAGAGGAUUCCAGGUAAAAAGAUGAUAUGGCCGCACCUGCGGCAUAUGGAGUUCCCAGGCUAGGGGUCGAAUCAGAGCUGCAGCUGCAGGCCUAGCCACAGCCAUAGCAAUGCCAGAUCUGAGCCAUGUCUGUGAUCUGCAACACAGCUCAUGGCAACACGGGAUCCUUCACCCACUGAGCAAGGCCAAGGCUCGAACCUGCAUCAUCAUGGAUGCCAGUCAGAUUCAUUUCCACUGAUCCACGAUGGGAACUCCAGGAAUGCGUAUUUUGGAGAGAGGGUGCUGUGGAGACCAGGUGAAGCAGGAGAGCUUUAGGGGAGAACUUAGGACACUGGGUGUUAGAUACAGAAGUUAGGGUAGAUUAUGUCAGAGCAGAAAGAAGCAUGAAGUCGUUUAGCAUGGGUUUAUCUGAGCCGUGAAGUGGAAAAACUUUUCUCUAGAGACUCAAAAUGGGAGUUAAAAACAGUAACUAGAUUCAGACUGGGCAGGAAGGUGAAAAUAGGAAGACAAGUCAAAGUUGAUUGGGGUCUAGUGACAUAGACUAGCGUAGUAAAAAUAGAAUUCCAGGAAAAAAAUUAUUGAGGACUUUAACCCUGAACCAAGCCAGCCGAAUAAUUUAUACUGUUCUCUCACCUCUGAAUAAUCUCUGCCCUUACAUACUACUGAGUUAUAAUGGAGUUUCAUUAUGAACACGAACCUUUUAUAUGCUACACUGUGCUAAACUAGGGAAAAAAGGAUUUCCACCAGAGAGAGAAAGAGGGGGAAGGUCUCCCCCUUUGUAUUUUUGUAUAGGUAGCAGCAGUGAACUUAAGGCAUAUGGUUAUGAAGUCUCAGCAAAAUUAUACAAAGCAGGGAGGGGUAAUUCUCCAAAAGGAAAUUAGUAUGGAUGCUAGGCAGCUAAAAAGAAAUGUCUCCUUUUCACUCUCAAAAAAGUUUCAUGAUUUUUAAAGAGAACCCUAAUAUACUGUUGGUGAGAAUGUAAACUGGUGCAGCCACUCUGGGAAACAGUAUGGGGAUUCCUCAAAGAUUUAAGAGUGGAACUAACAUAACAUCCAGCAGUACCCACUUCCAGGUAUUUAUCCAAAGAAUACCAAACCACUAAUCUGAAAAGAUAUAUGCACCCCUGUAUUCAUCACAGCAUUAUUUACAAUUGCCAAGAUACGAAAAUAACUGAAGUGCCCAUCAAUAGAUGAAUGAAUAAAGAUGUGGUAUAUAUACACAAUGUUAAAGGUGAAAUCUUGCCAUUUGCAAUAAUGUGGAUGGACCUUAAGGAUAUUGUGCUAAGUGAAAUAAAUCAGAGGAAGACUAAAUACCAUAUGAUUUCACUCAUAUGUGGAAUCUAAAAAACAAACAAACAGGAACCCAAAAUAAAUUAAACCAAACCAAACGUGUUGAUACAGAGAACAGAGUAGUGGCUUCCAGAGGGGAAGAGGCAGAGGGAAGGAGAAAUGAAUAAAGGGUAUCAACAGUUUGGUGACAAGUGGAAUCUAAAUUUUUGGUAGUGACCACCCUUGUAGGGUAUAUAGAAGUAGAAACAUAAUGUACAUAUGUAAUUAAUAUAAUGUUACCAACUAAUGUUACCUCAAUUAAAAGAAUUUCAUAGUUCUUCACAUUGUGGUACUUUACUUGUGUAAGACUAAUGGUAGCUAGAAAUUAUUAAGUGCUUUGCUCAGUACAGUUUAUACUGUGUCUGAUUUCAUCCCUUUACAUGCUGCAUCUUUAAUCAUCACAGCAAUCUUGUGAGUAAUCACUUGUGUAAACUUACCCAGUAAUAGGUGUGAGAACCAGGCGCAGAUUCAGGUGGUGUGUGCUGCACUGCCUCUGUGCUGUUUAAAAAAUUAUCAUGAAUUAGUUAAUGCUUUUAAAUAAAAUUGGAUUUUAUUAAUUUUAAUGGAUGUGCAUAUUUUUAAAUGGUAGUACCAUGUAUCCCUCUCUUUCUCUCUCUCUCUCUCUCUCUCUCUCUCUCGUGCGUGCGUACACGCACACGCACACACACACAUACAUUAUGUAAUUUAUUCAGAAAUGUUAGUGAGGCAGUUCCUCACUUUCCCAAGGCUUCUUGGCCGUAACUGAGGAAUCACUGGCUCUCCUUGUAUUGAUGUGCGGUUCUCUCCUGAUCGUGGCAUUUCUUCUCCCCACUGUGUGACAGUCAGUAGUGGUCCUGAGUAAUCUAAGGCAGUCACUGUAGCGUGCCCCCCCCCCCCCCCCCCCCCCCCCCCCCCCCCCCAGGGAUAGAUUCAGAAAUAGGCAUGUUACCAUUCUAGGCUGAGGAAAGUUUGCAGAAGCUUCUGGGGAAGACUUUUUUCUUUGUCCAAGACAUGGGUAAGAGGCAAUCUUGUCAAAUCCAACAAGGAAACCUGCCCUAGAGGGUGGCUGAGGGAAUUGCAAAGGGAUGGAGCUAGGUUAAGCCAACCCUAAAUUCCACCCUACCCCUGAAAUAACACUUCUGUGAGCCAGUGAAUUUUCCUCACGUUUAAGCAGUUUGAGGUGUGAUUUCUGUUCACUUGGCUAGUGAUAUCUCAGCAGAUGUCAUAAUGCAGAAUUGCAAUUGGAACAGAUUCCUUCUGCUGGAUGUUCAAAGUAAAAUUAUCAAGAUUCUGUUAAAUAGGCUAGUACCCUAGCCUAGCAAGGUAGAAAUUGCAUGAAUUAGAGUCAGAGGACCUGGGUUGUAAUUUCUACUUUGCCACUAGCUACAUAUAUCACAUACCUAAAUUUCCCUGUCAGCAAUAACAGGGAGGUUGCCCUGAAUAAGCUGUAAUGUACUUUUCAUCUCAUAUCCUCUUAAUAUUGGAACCCAUGAAAAAUGUCUUGUUAAACUUAAUUAGGAAUUAAGGAGAUGUUUUUUGAAAAACAGAGAGCCAUCUCAGGUUUUUAUUAUAAUGUAGUAGCCCCAAGGUACUCUGUUUCUUCAACUUCUCUGUAAGUAGCCCUGAUAAAAUUAUUUGAACAGAGGUUUAAAAAUUGCAUUCCCUGCCCCUAUCGCCAUGGGCUUAAAACCAGCACUUUAAAUAAACGGUUAUGAUUCUUCAGAUUGUUCAUCAUCUGUUUCUUUAACAUUUUACUGUGGAAACUUUCAAAUAUAUAUAGCAGUGGAAUAGUAUAGUAAAUCCCUGUAUAUUCAUCUUAUUCAUCUUCUCACCUCAGUAAUUAUCAAUAUUUUGAAUUUUUUUUAAUUUGUGCCUUUUUUGCUUUUUAGGGCCACACCCAAGGCAUAUGGAGGUUCCCAGGCCAGGGGUUGAAUUGGAACUACAGCUGCCGGCCUACACCACAACAACGCCAGAUCUGAGCUGUGCCUGUGAUCUGUACCACAGCUCACGGUAAUGCCUGAUCCUUAACCCACUGAUCAAGGCCAAGGAUUGAACCCACAACCUCAUGGUUCCUAAUUGUAUUCACUUCCACUGCUCCACAGCAGGAACUCCAAUAUUUUGACAGUUUUGAAACCCAUAGCUCUUAAGUGCUUAUAGUUGGCUCUUCUAGCAGAGACUUUUUUCUCCAGCUAAACUUUGGAGCUAAAUUAGGUCUCCUUAACUUUAAGGUUUCAGUUGUCUGCAUAUAUUUAUUUAAUGCUGUAGUUUUUAGAUCAAAAAAGUUAUAAUGGAGUUCCCAUGCGAGCCUGGCUAGUAUCCUGGG